CUGGCUCAGGAUGAACGCUAGCGACAGGCCUAACACAUGCAAGUCAGGGGCAGCACAAGGAGCAAUCUGAGGUGGCGACCGGCGCACGGGUGAGUAACACGUAUGCAACCUGCCUGUAAGCGGGGAAUAACCCGUUGAAAGACGGACUAAUACCGCAUAAUACUAAAUUACUGCAUGGUAAUUUAUUUAAACAUUUAUGGCUUACAGAUGGGCAUGCGCAUGAUUAGCUAGUUGGAGAGGUAACGGCUCCCCAAGGCAACGAUCAUUAGGGGUUCUGAGAGGAAGGUCCCCCACACUGGUACUGAGACACGGACCAGACUCCUACGGGAGGCGGCAGUGAGGAAUAUUGGUCAAUGGACGAGAGUCUGAACCAGCCAAGUCGCGUGCAGGAAGAAUGUCCUAUGGAUUGUAAACUGCUUUUGCAGGGGAAUAAAGUGCAUCACGUGUGAUGUUUUGUAUGUACUCUGCGAAUAAGGAUCGGCUAACUCCGUGCCAGCCGCCGC
RNAcentral lists this ribosomal RNA (503 nucleotides) under uncultured bacterium. RNAcentral's name for it is "bacterial SSU rRNA". It matches the Rfam family "Bacterial small subunit ribosomal RNA", at positions 19 to 518 of the family's 1533-position model. The record is from RNAcentral.